RNAcentral lists this ribosomal RNA (731 nucleotides) under uncultured bacterium. Its description in RNAcentral is "bacterial SSU rRNA". It matches the Rfam family "Bacterial small subunit ribosomal RNA", at positions 94 to 820 of the family's 1533-position model. The record is from RNAcentral.
AGCGGCGGACGGGUGAGUAAUGCUUAGGAAUCUGCCAUUUAGUGGGGGACAACAUUCCGAAAGGAAUGCUAAUACCGCAUACGUCCUACGGGAGAAAGCAGGGGAUCUUCGGACCUUGCGCUAAAUGAUGAGCCUAAGUCGGAUUAGCUAGUUGGUGGGGUAAAGGCCUACCAAGGCGACGAUCUGUAGCGGGUCUGAGAGGAUGAUCCGCCACACUGGGACUGAGACACGGCCCAGACUCCUACGGGAGGCAGCAGCGGGGAAUAUUGGACAAUGGGCGGAAGCCUGAUCCAGCCAUGCCGCGUGUGUGAAGAAGGCCUUUUGGUUGUAAAGCACUUUAAGCGAGGAGGAGGCUACCUAGAUUAAUACUCUGGGAUAGUGGACGUUACUCGCAGAAUAAGCACCGGCUAACUCUGUGCCAGCAGCCGCGGUAAUACAGAGGGUGCGAGCGUUAAUCGGAUUUACUGGGCGUAAAGCGUGCGUAGGCGGCUUUUUAAGUCGGAUGUGAAAUCCCCGAGCUUAACUUGGGAAUUGCAUUCGAUACUGGGAAGCUAGAGUAUGGGAGAGGAUGGUAGAAUUCCAGGUGUAGCGGUGAAAUGCGUAGAGAUCUGGAGGAAUACCGAUGGCGAAGGCAGCCAUCUGGCCUAAUACUGACGCUGAGGUACGAAAGCAUGGGGAGCAAACAGGAUUAGAUACCCUGGUAGUCCAUGCCGUAAACGAUGUCUACUAGC